RNAcentral lists this ribosomal RNA (304 nucleotides) under Castaliella quadrata. Its description in RNAcentral is "partial 16S ribosomal RNA". It matches the Rfam family "Bacterial large subunit ribosomal RNA", at positions 1953 to 2496 of the family's 2925-position model. Lineage: Eukaryota; Metazoa; Mollusca; Bivalvia; Unionida; Hyriidae. The record is from RNAcentral.
AAGGUAGCGUAAUAACCAGCCUUCUAAUUAGAGGCCAGUGAAAGGCAACACAUGGGACCACCUAUAUCUAAUGUGCCAAAAGAAUUUUACCUUUGAGUGAAAAGGCUCAACUAAUCAAAAAAGACGAAAAGACCCCGCGGAGCUUUACUUAAAAGUUAUAGACCAUAUAAAAUCAAUACUAAAAGUUUGGUUGGGGCAACCUUGGAACAACUAAUCUUCCAAUUCAUCUCUCUGCAAUAAAAUACAAAACCUUUACGGACUAAAAAGAAGCUACCCCGGGGAUAACAGCGUAAUCCAACUUAAA